AUGGGAGGAGCUUGGCUGCGCAGGUCCACGAGGGCACUCGAACAGGGCAGCGGACGGCGGGAACGGGACUGCGACUUUGCGGUGAUGGGCGCGGUCAACAGGGAAGGAGGCUCUGGGACGGCACGGGGCGACUCGGUGGUGGACUUCCAUGGCUGGCGGCACCAUGAUUGGAGGAGGCAGCUGCAGGAUGGCUCGGGCUCCUCUGGUCGGAAAGGGUGGAUCGGGAGGGAUUGCCUGGUGUGUGAAAUCGAGGAGGGGAUGGAUCCCGAGAGGGAUUUGGUGGAGUGGUGGCGGCGAUGGGACAAACCCCCAAGAAAUUAG
Molecule: ribosomal RNA, 321 nt
Filed under: Triticum aestivum (bread wheat)
Lineage: Eukaryota; Viridiplantae; Streptophyta; Magnoliopsida; Poales; Poaceae
Description: partial small subunit ribosomal RNA
Source: RNAcentral